Molecule: unclassified non-coding RNA, 416 nt
Filed under: soil metagenome
Description: partial contains 5.8S ribosomal RNA, internal transcribed spacer 2, and large subunit ribosomal RNA
Rfam family: 5.8S ribosomal RNA (bases 1-120)
Source: RNAcentral
GAUGAAGAACGUAGCGAAAUGCGAUAAGUAAUGUGAAUUGCAGAAUUCAGUGAAUCAUCGAAUCUUUGAACGCACCUUGCACUCCUUGGUAUUCCGAGGAGUACGCCUGUUCGAGUGUUAUGAAGCUCUCAAAACGCAAUUGGCUUAAAACCUGAUUGUUGUUUUGGAUUUGAACUUUGCCGUGUUAUAACGGCUGGUUUUAAAAGUAUUAGCUGGUACUAGAACGAAUUGGUUCUACUCAACGUGAUAAUUAUCUGAUCGUUGAGGACAUUCCUUUCACGAGGAAUUGCCAUAGUAAAUUCAAUGGACUGCUUCUAAUCUGGCUUUAAUUCUUUAUUGGAUUAACCACUUUUCAAAUCUGACCUCGAAUCAGGUGGGACUACCCGCUGAACUUAAGCAUAUCAAUAAGCGGAGGA